UUGAUGGCUUUACUCAGAAGUGCACAACAGAAUUUCAGAAGGCAGCUUUUCUCGUGGCAGUGUCCACAAGACUGAAGAAGACUUGAACUUUCACUUGACUGGGAAAGGAGAAACCAGAGCCAAGCUUUGCUUUGACCUUCAACUUUCACUGUGAAAUGCCCCAAGGCAAAUCUUUGGGAGGCUCUACAGGAGAUCCAUUCACAACUUUUCUGGAGAGGCUGAAGAUAAAGACACUUUUCCAAUACUCCCAGUGGGCACAGUAAGGCCCCCGACAGCUGACCCUUCAAAGAAACAUGCCGGUUCCCUUCACCCAGCCCAAGGUCUGGACUGCCCUCAUCAGCCCUGCCUUGGAGUCGUCCUCCUGAUGCUCCAGAACACAGCACUUCCCAGGGUCCGGGAACAUUCCGCCGCCACGCCCAGGUGUAUUCCUAAAGGACUUGUAAAUAGAGCAAUUCUGUAGCUGGCAAACGCAAUGCUCUUCACCCAGCUAACGCAGCUGAUUCAGGAGGAAAAUACAACUUUCCCCUGUUUCAGUUCAUUUUGUGGUAUAAACAUAGCCUGAGAAACAAACUACUUAACAAUAGUAAGUUUGGGGGCGCCUGGGUGGCUCAGUCGUUAAGCGUCUGCCUUCGGCUCAGGUCAUGAUCCCAGGGUCUGGGGAUAGAGCCCCGCAUCGGGCUCUCUGCUCCGCAGGAAGCCUGCUUCUCCCUCUCCCACUCCCCUUGCUUGUGUUCCCUCUCUCGCUGUGUCUCUC
Molecule: long non-coding RNA, 754 nt
Organism: Mirounga angustirostris (Northern elephant seal)
Lineage: Eukaryota; Metazoa; Chordata; Mammalia; Carnivora; Phocidae
Exons: 3
Source: RefSeq, a predicted model, not a curated record